RNAcentral lists this ribosomal RNA (574 nucleotides) under uncultured Bacilli bacterium. RNAcentral's name for it is "bacterial SSU rRNA". It matches the Rfam family "Bacterial small subunit ribosomal RNA", at positions 59 to 604 of the family's 1533-position model. The record is from RNAcentral. Lineage: Bacteria; Bacillati; Bacillota; Bacilli.
AAGUCGAACGCUUCUUUCCUCCCGAGUGCUUGCACUCAAUUGGAAAGAGGAGUGGCGGACGGGUGAGUAACACGUGGGUAACCUACCCAUCAGAGGGGGAUAACACUUGGAAACAGGUGCUAAUACCGCAUAACAGUUUAUGUCGCAUGGCAUAAGAGUGAAAGGCGCUUUCGGGUGUCGCUGAUGGAUGGACCCGCGGUGCAUUAGCUAGUUGGUGAGGUAACGGCUCACCAAGGCCACGAUGCAUAGCCGACCUGAGAGGGUGAUCGGCCACACUGGGACUGAGACACGGCCCAGACUCCUACGGGAGGCAGCAGUAGGGAAUCUUCGGCAAUGGACGAAAGUCUGACCGAGCAACGCCGCGUGAGUGAAGAAGGUUUUCGGAUCGUAAAACUCUGUUGUUAGAGAAGAACAAGGACGUUAGUAACUGAACGUCCCCUGACGGUAUCUAACCAGAAAGCCACGGCUAACUACGUGCCAGCAGCCGCGGUAAUACGUAGGUGGCAAGCGUUGUCCGGAUUUAUUGGGCGUAAAGCGAGCGCAGGCGGUUUCUUAAGUCUGAUGUGAAAGCCCC